Molecule: ribosomal RNA, 460 nt
Filed under: uncultured bacterium
Lineage: Bacteria
Description: partial 16S ribosomal RNA
Rfam family: Bacterial small subunit ribosomal RNA
Source: RNAcentral
CCUACGGGUGGCAGCAGUGAGGAAUCUUGGUCAAUGGGCGUAAGCCUGAACCAGCCAAGUAGCGUGAGGGAUGACUGCCCUAUGGGUUGUAAACUUCUUUUAUAAGGGAAUAAAGAUGUGCACGUGUGUGUGUUUGUAUGUACUGUAUGAAUAAGGAUCGGCUAACUCCGUGCCAGCAGCCGUGGUAAUACGGAGGGUCCGAGCGUUAUCCGGAUUUAUUGGGUUUAAAGGGAGCGUAGGUGGGUUGUUAAGUGUGCUGUGAAAGUUUGCGGCUCAACCGUACAAGUGCGAUGGAAACUGGAAGCCUUGAGUGCAGUUGAGGCAGGCGGAAUUCGGGGUGUAGCGGUGAAAUGCUUAGAUAUCACGAAGAACUCCGAUGGCGAAGGCAGCCUACUGAACUGUCACUGACACUGAUGCUCGAAAGCGUGGGUAUCAAACAGGAUUAGAUACCCCGGUAGUC